This 467-nucleotide ribosomal RNA is filed under the name uncultured bacterium. RNAcentral's name for it is "bacterial SSU rRNA". It matches the Rfam family "Bacterial small subunit ribosomal RNA", at positions 34 to 518 of the family's 1533-position model. The record is from RNAcentral.
CGCUGGCGGCACGCCUAACACAUGCAAGUCGAACGGAGAUUGAGAGCUGCUCUUAAAUCUUAGUGGCGGACGGGUGAGUAACACGUGAGCAACCUGCCUCUGAGAGAGGGAUAGCUUCUGGAAACGGAUGGUAAUACCUCAUAACAUUACAUGACCGCAUGAUCGUGUAAUCAAAGAUUUAUCACUCAGAGAUGGGCUCGCGUCUGAUUAGCUAGUUGGUGAGGUAACGGCCCACCAAGGCGACGAUCAGUAGCCGGACUGAGAGGUUGAACGGCCACAUUGGGACUGAGACACGGCCCAGACUCCUACGGGAGGCAGCAGUGAGGGAUAUUGCACAAUGGAGGAAACUCUGAUGCAGCGAUGCCGCGUGGAGGAAGAAGGUUUUCGGAUUGUAAACUCCUGUUUCGAGGGACGAUAAUGACGGUACCUCGGGAGGAAGCUCCGGCUAACUACGUGCCAGCAGCGGC